GACGAACGCUGGCGGCGUGCUUAACACAUGCAAGUCGAACGAAGUGGCGAACGGGUGAGUAACGCGUAAUCAACCUGCCCUUCAGAGGGGGACAACAGUUGGAAACGACUGCUAAUACCGCAUACUGAAGGAGGGGAUUGCGUCUGAUUAGCUAGUUGGAGGGGUAACGGCCCACCAAGGCGAUGAUCAGUAGCCAGUCUGGGAUGAUGAACGGCCACAUUGGGACUGAGACACGGCCCAGACUCCUACGGGAGGCAGCAGUGGGAACUAAUUAACAAUGGACCAAAGUCUGAACCAGCAAUUCUGUGUGCACGAUGAAGUUUGUCGGAAUGUAAAGGGCUUUCAGUUGGGAAGCGGUACCAACAGAAGAAGUGACGGCUAAAUACGUGCCAGCAGCCGCGGUAAUAC
Molecule: ribosomal RNA, 408 nt
Filed under: uncultured bacterium
Lineage: Bacteria
Description: partial 16S ribosomal RNA
Rfam family: Bacterial small subunit ribosomal RNA
Source: RNAcentral